RNAcentral lists this ribosomal RNA (149 nucleotides) under Porphyromonadaceae bacterium. RNAcentral's name for it is "partial 23S ribosomal RNA". It matches the Rfam family "Bacterial large subunit ribosomal RNA", at positions 2762 to 2925 of the family's 2925-position model. Lineage: Bacteria; Pseudomonadati; Bacteroidota; Bacteroidia; Bacteroidales; Porphyromonadaceae. The record is from RNAcentral.
AGAUAAGUGCUGAAAGCAUCUAAGUACGAAGCUCUCCACAAGAUUAGAUAUCCUCAUAAGGGUGGUUAUAGACGAUGACCUUGAUAGGCUACAGGUGUAAAGGCGGUGACGUCAUAGCCGAGUAGUACUAAUUGCCCGAAAGUUUUUGC